CUCAAGAGUGUAGGACUGGGCAGACUCAAAGGCAGAGGAAACUAGGCACACACAAAGUUUGAGGCCCUCCAAGCAGCCAGAGAAAAAGAGCAAAACCAGAUUGAUAAACAGGUUAUGCCAGAACCAGAAUUCAUGGGGUAGAGGUAUGUGAUGGAGUCCCACAACCUGUGCUCUGGGGAUCAGGCUGAAACUGCCCUGGUUGCAGCUGCUUUUGAUGCUAUUCGACUAUGAGGAAGCCCAGAAAAGUGCAGAAGUGAAACAAAUUGAAGCUGACAGACAGUGAGACAAUGCCACACCUCCUCGGGGAUGGACUGAGAUCAAAACCUGACUCUGGAAGGUCCAUGCAGGGACACAAGCAGAAAUGGCUGGUAAAACCACAUAUCCAGAGAGCCAAACAGCAGAAGAGAGUGGAACAGGUGUUCAAGGGACUUCCCAAUCCAUUUGGGACUGCGAGGGUCCAAAGAGCAUCCCAAAGUCUCAGGCGCUUUUUGAGCCUGUCUCAUUCAGACCCAGUUAAUGCUGCUGUCAAUGCCUGGGAAGGGACGUUACUUCUAAGAAUGGUACAUGCAUGAACAAACAUCUGACAAAAGACUUAUUAUCAAGGCCAUAAUCUUGAGAAUACUAUGCAGGACAUCUGAAGUGUCAGGAGUGUCCUGAUUUAUGUUGCAUUGUGCUGUACAACUGGACAUGUGUUAAGAGAUAAAGUGACAGUAUGUGUGCUCAAGAA
Molecule: long non-coding RNA, 727 nt
Organism: Columba livia (rock pigeon)
Lineage: Eukaryota; Metazoa; Chordata; Aves; Columbiformes; Columbidae
Exons: 3
Source: RefSeq, a predicted model, not a curated record